Small nuclear RNA from Callithrix jacchus (white-tufted-ear marmoset), 105 nucleotides. NCBI's taxonomy places the organism in Eukaryota, Metazoa, Chordata, Mammalia, Primates, Cebidae. The record is from Ensembl.
CUGCUCACUUCCACAGCACAUAUACUAAAAUUGGAACCGUACAAAGAUUAGCUGGUAUCCUGCACAAGGAUGACAUGUGUAUGUCAUGAAACAUUUGUAUUUUUA